AUGUUCCACUAUACAGAUGGAAGGGCAGCAGUCUACCAGUGUAGCUCUGAUUCUCUUUGCUACCCAAGACAAAACUUCAAGGUAAGCACAUUGUCUCCAUGUAUGCAGAAGCACCUGGCUUCCCUUGAUGUUGGACGUGGUAAGGAAAUUGACAUAGCAUACAUUUCCCCCCAUCAUGUCAACUCUCAUUUAUAUAUUCUAGAAGUGGAACAUCAAAAAUGUUGUUAAAAUAUAUUUUAUAAUCUCUUAGCAUGGCCUAUACAGUUGGUCUAGCACCUCAUUCUGUAAUAGAGUUUGGCAAAUUUUGACCUACUGGCCAAAUCUAGCUUGCUAACAAUUUUUUUUUUUUUUGUAUGACUGGUGUUUUAAGAAUGAUUUUUAUAAUUUUAAACAGUUGGGAAAAAAAAUCAAAAGAAAACAUUCUG
This 425-nucleotide long non-coding RNA is filed under the name Canis lupus familiaris (dog). Its description in RNAcentral is "lncRNA (ENSCAFG00040013552.1)". The record is from RNAcentral. Lineage: Eukaryota; Metazoa; Chordata; Mammalia; Carnivora; Canidae.